GACAGAGGCCUCAAGCGUUAGGCGGAAUCACUGGGCUUAAAGCGUGUGUAGGCGGACGCCUAAGUACCUUGUGAAAUCCCACGGCUCACCCGUGGAACGGCUGGGUAUACUGGGGGUCUUGGGCCACUCAGGGGCGACUGGAACAAGCGGUGGAGCGGUGAAAUGCGUAGAUAUCGCUUGGAACGCCGAAGGUGAAAACAGGUCGCUGGGAGUGCGCCGACGCUGAGACACGAAAGCCAGGGGAGCAAACGGG
Molecule: ribosomal RNA, 253 nt
Filed under: uncultured bacterium
Lineage: Bacteria
Description: partial 16S ribosomal RNA
Rfam family: Bacterial small subunit ribosomal RNA
Source: RNAcentral